This 311-nucleotide ribosomal RNA is filed under the name uncultured bacterium. RNAcentral's name for it is "bacterial SSU rRNA". It matches the Rfam family "Bacterial small subunit ribosomal RNA", at positions 28 to 334 of the family's 1533-position model. The record is from RNAcentral.
GAUGAACGCUAGCGGCAGGCUUAACACAUGCAAGUCGAGGGGUAACAGAGGUAGCUUGCUACUUGCUGACGACCGGCGCACGGGUGCGUAACGCGUAUAGAAGCUACCUUAUACUGGGGAAUAGCCUUUGGAAACGAAGAUUAAUACCCCAUAGUAAGUAUUUAUGGCAUCAUUUAUACUUUAAAGUUUCGGCGGUAUAAGAUGACUAUGCGUUCUAUUAGUUUGUUGGUAAGGUAACGGCUUACCAAGACUACGAUAGAUAGGGGUCCUGAGAGGGAGAUCCCCCACACUGGUACUGAGACACGGACCAG